GCCGCCGUAGCUCAGUCGGCAGAGCUCCUGUCUUGUAAACAGGCGAGACCGGUUCGAGCCCGGUCGGCGGCU
RNAcentral lists this transfer RNA (72 nucleotides) under Polyangiaceae bacterium. Its description in RNAcentral is "tRNA-Thr". It matches the Rfam family "tRNA". From Rfam's summary of the family: Transfer RNA (tRNA) molecules are approximately 80 nucleotides in length. Their secondary structure includes four short double-helical elements and three loops (D, anti-codon, and T loops). The record is from RNAcentral. Lineage: Bacteria; Pseudomonadati; Myxococcota; Polyangiales; Polyangiaceae.